GCUUCCGUGGCGCAAUAGGCAGCGCGUUCGGCUGUUAACAGAAGGGUUGGUGGUUCGAGCCCAC
Molecule: transfer RNA, 64 nt
Filed under: Angiostrongylus costaricensis
Lineage: Eukaryota; Metazoa; Nematoda; Chromadorea; Rhabditida; Metastrongylidae
Rfam family: tRNA
About the family: Transfer RNA (tRNA) molecules are approximately 80 nucleotides in length.
Source: Rfam by way of RNAcentral